GCAAGUCGAACGGUAACAGGUCCUUCGGUACGCUGACGAGUGGCGGACGGGUGCGUUACGCGUAUGCGAACUACCUUUCAGUGGGGGAUAGCCUGGAGAAAUUCAGAUUAACACCGCAUGAUAUUAUUGAGUCUCAUGGCCUGAUUAUUAAAAUUUUUUGCUGAAAGAUGAGCAUGCGUGACAUUAGCUAGUUGGUAAGGUAACUGCUUACCAAGGCUACGAUGUCUAGCUGGUCUGAGAGGAUGAUC
Molecule: ribosomal RNA, 248 nt
Filed under: uncultured bacterium
Lineage: Bacteria
Description: partial 16S ribosomal RNA
Rfam family: Bacterial small subunit ribosomal RNA
Source: RNAcentral